AGAGUCAGGUGAGUCAGGUGACCAGAAGGGGAGCCAGGGCUCAGCGGGAGCAAAGGCCGGAGGCGGCCCAGCCCCGGUCAGGGGGGCGGGGGCUGCAGCCUCAGCGCCUGCUGGUUGCACAGCUGGAGGGCCCUGGCCGCCCCUCCCCAAACAGCGGCUCCUCCUCCACAGCUUGUCUUGGGGGGCGAGGUCCCAGGGAUGGACGGAGCCUGGCUUCUCCCGCUCAGCACAGGCGCUGGUCCCUCCUCUGCGCCCACCUCCCGUCCUCCCCGUCCAAGGUCCAAGGCAUUCGGACCCUGAAGAGCGAGAUGUUGACUCAUCCUUGCAUCUAUGGAAUAAAUCCCACAUGACCGUGACGUAAUUAGUUCCCACAAGACGACAGCCGCUCCCGUGGCCUCCCCCACGUCCACCAGCACAGGCACCGACAGCCCUGAAGGUUUUCCCAGACCAACAGCCAAGCAGUCACACCUCAGUCCUCCUGCUCUUCUCAGUCCCGAGCGGGGCUGAGACGCUCUGUGCAGUACUGGCGACUGCUUUCCUCUAGGGCAGCGGUUCUCAACCUUCUGGCCCUUAAAUACAGCUCCUCAUGUUGUG
Molecule: long non-coding RNA, 594 nt
Organism: Myotis brandtii (Brandt's bat)
Lineage: Eukaryota; Metazoa; Chordata; Mammalia; Chiroptera; Vespertilionidae
Exons: 3
Source: RefSeq, a predicted model, not a curated record